This 240-nucleotide long non-coding RNA is filed under the name Arabidopsis thaliana (thale cress). RNAcentral's name for it is "ncRNA (AT1G07437)". The record is from RNAcentral. Lineage: Eukaryota; Viridiplantae; Streptophyta; Magnoliopsida; Brassicales; Brassicaceae.
AGGGCUUCAGAAAACAGAGGCGAUGAAGAGAGGACACAAACAGACCUCACUAUCGUCGACACUACGACUUCUUCACUGUGAAGCCAAUUACCUCUCGAUGGUACGGUUGAAAUACUAAAAAGACUGCCGGUGAAAUCUCUUUCGAAGGUCCUAUGCAUUUCGAAGCUAUGGUCAUCAAUUAUUAGUAGACAUAGAGACAUCAUAGAAUCGAUUGUGAGUCGUUCUUUGGCUCAGUCUCCA